This 246-nucleotide ribosomal RNA is filed under the name uncultured bacterium. RNAcentral describes it as "partial small subunit ribosomal RNA". It matches the Rfam family "Bacterial small subunit ribosomal RNA", at positions 26 to 286 of the family's 1533-position model. The record is from RNAcentral.
AGAAUCAAUGCUGGCGGCGUGCCUAACACAUGCAAGUCGCACGAGAAAGUGGAGCAAUCCACGAGUAAAGUGGCGCACGGGUGAGUAACACGUGAAUAAUCUACCUCCGAGUGGGGAAUAACUGAGAGAAAUCUUAGCUAAUACCGCAUAAUACCCACGGGUCAAAGCAGCAAUGCGCUUGGAGAGGAGUUCGCGGCCGAUUAGCUAGUUGGCGGGGUAAUGGCCCACCAAGGCGAUGAUCGGUAU